This 205-nucleotide long non-coding RNA is filed under the name Lathyrus oleraceus (garden pea). RNAcentral's name for it is "Pisum sativum (pea) long non-coding RNA (PSAT_LNC027804)". Lineage: Eukaryota; Viridiplantae; Streptophyta; Magnoliopsida; Fabales; Fabaceae. The record is from RNAcentral.
AAAUUCAGCCCAGCGCAAUUGCUCUUGUGGCGCCCGCCAUGGAUACUGAGGCGCCCGCCACAACGUCUGAUAAACUUGGGGUAGAUUCACAUAUUUCACCAUUUUUAACCUUUCCAACCUCCAAAACCCAUUUUUUCCUCUUCCAAAAACUCCCUUGAACCCCAUAAAAGCUCCUACAUUUCUCAUCUUCCCACCAUACAAUUUA